RNAcentral lists this ribosomal RNA (870 nucleotides) under uncultured organism. RNAcentral's name for it is "bacterial SSU rRNA". It matches the Rfam family "Bacterial small subunit ribosomal RNA", at positions 32 to 882 of the family's 1533-position model. The record is from RNAcentral.
AACGCUGGCGGCGUGCUAAGCUUAUGCAGUCGAACGCGAAAUGCUCCUUCGGGAGCCGAGUAGAGUGGCAGACGGGUGAGUAACGCGUGGGUAACGUGCCCCAAUCCUGGGAAUAACCCUCGGAAACGAGGGCUAAUACCGAAUGUGGCCCCCGAUCGGAUGAUCGGUGGCUAAAGGUGGCCUCUUCUAUGCUGCCGGGUUGGGAUCGGCCCGCGUCCCAUUAGCUAGUUGGUGAGGUAACGGCCCACCAAUGCAACGAUGGGUAGCCGGCCUGAGAGGGUGUCCGGCCACACUGGCACUGAGACAAGGGCCAGUCCCCUAUGGGAGGCGCAGGCGGGAAUAGUUCCCAAUGGACGAAAGUCUGAGGACGCGACGCCGCGUGAGCGAAGAAGGCCUUCGGGUUGUAAAGCUCUGUCAGGAGGGAAGAAGGCGCUGGGUGUUAAUAGCACCAAGCGUUGACGGUACUUCCAGAGGAAGCCCCGGCUAAAUACGUGCCAGCAGCCGCGGUAAUACGUAUGGGGCAAGCGUUGUCCGGAUUAACUGGGCGUAAAGGGCACGCAGGCGGUUCGUUUAGUCGAAGGUGAAAUCCCUGGGCUCAACUCAGGAACUGCCUUCGAUACUGGCGAACUAGAGUGGCGUAGAGGAAAGCGGAACUCCUGGUGUAACGGUGGAAUGUGUAGAUAUCAGGAGGAACACCGGUGGCGAAAGCGGCUUUCUGGACGCACACUGACGCUCAGGUGCGAAAGCGUGGGUAGCAAACAGGAUUAGAUACCCUGGUAGUCCACGCCGGAAACGAUGGGUACUACGUGUCGGGGGUAUCGAUCCCCUCGGUGCCGAAGUCAACGCAUUAAGUACCCAGGCUGGGGAGUA